Molecule: ribosomal RNA, 254 nt
Filed under: uncultured bacterium
Lineage: Bacteria
Description: partial 16S ribosomal RNA
Rfam family: Bacterial small subunit ribosomal RNA
Source: RNAcentral
UACAGAGGGGGCUAGCGUUGUUCGGAAUCACUGGGUGUAAAGGGUGCGUAGGCUGUCCGUUAAGUCUGAUGUGAAAGCCCUGGGCUCAACUCAGGAAUUGCAUUGGAAACUGGCGGACUCAGAGUACCGGAGAGGGAAGCGGAAUUCCUGGUGUAGUGGUGAAAUGCGUAGAUAUCGGGAGGAACACCAGUGGCGAAGGCGACUACCUGGCCUGUUCUUGACGCUGAGGCGCGAAAGCUAGGGGAGCAAACGGG